RNAcentral lists this ribosomal RNA (115 nucleotides) under Microcebus murinus (gray mouse lemur). Lineage: Eukaryota; Metazoa; Chordata; Mammalia; Primates; Cheirogaleidae. The record is from RNAcentral.
GUCUACGGCCAUACCACCCUAAACAUGCCCAAUCUCGCCUGAUCUCAGAAGCUAAACUGGGUGGGACCUGGUUAGUACCUGGAUGGGAAAAGAAUGAGCUCCAGUACCAUCCAGU